UACGGAGGUGGCAGGCGUUACUCGGAUUGAUUGGGUGUAAAGGGCAUGUAGGCGGUGCGUUAAGUCGAAUGUGAAAUCCCUUGGCUCAACCAAGGAACUGCAUUCGAAACUGACGUGCUUGAGUGAUGGAGAGGAAAGCGGAAUUCCCGGUGUAACAGUGAAAUGUGUAGAUAUCGGGAGGAACACCAGUGGCGAAGGCGGCUUUCUGGACAUCUACUGACGCUGAAAUGCGAGAGCUAGGGGAG
This 245-nucleotide ribosomal RNA is filed under the name uncultured bacterium. RNAcentral's name for it is "partial 16S ribosomal RNA". It matches the Rfam family "Bacterial small subunit ribosomal RNA", at positions 524 to 768 of the family's 1533-position model. The record is from RNAcentral.